Molecule: long non-coding RNA, 1980 nt
Filed under: Triticum aestivum (bread wheat)
Lineage: Eukaryota; Viridiplantae; Streptophyta; Magnoliopsida; Poales; Poaceae
Description: long non-coding RNA (TAES_LNC013506)
Source: RNAcentral
CGUCCCCGAAGUCCGCGAAGCGCUUCUUGCAGAGGAAGUUGCACCAGGUCUCGCCCCACCCCUCUCCCGCUCUAUCCUGUCAGAUUUGGGGUCGAUCAGACCGUCUUCACCGGGGCUGGUCGGCGGAGUUUUCUUCCGGUGCUGACCGUGGCCGUGUUAGCGAUUCUGUUUGUCUGGAUGUUGCUGCAGGGAGGAGGGGGAGAGAAAGGAGGCGGUGGAGGAGGAGGAGGGGCGGCCGGUGAUGUGGCCCAGCUGGAGGCGCAGAUCGCGCUCCACUACGGCAUCCCCUACGCCUCCUCCGUCAUGGUGUUCGACCCCGUGCAGCGGCUGCUCGCCGUGGGGACGCUGUGAGCCCCCAACCUCCCUCCACUCGUCCUAACUUUGCCUACACUUCAAAAUAAGUUAAACCGAAGCUGAUAUCUCUGUCAACCUGUGUUACCACCCUCUGAAUCCGAGCAACAACCAUUUCUUGUCAUAUAGCAAGACAUCCAAAUAAGCAUCUAAAGUAGGUCAUUUGUAGUGUGCCAUCCUGCAUUCAACUCUUAAGCUUGAAGCCUUAAUGCAGUUCAGAUCAUUGCUUGAGUCAGCCAAUAGAACAUACCAGCAAGCCCUUGAGCACAUUUUCGGUGUCCAUGUUAUGUCCACCUCCUGUUGAAUUGAUGGUGACUGCGCUUCAAACUGCAGGGAUGGGAGGAUCAAAAUCUUUGGGGGUGAUAAUAUCGAAGGCAUCCUCAUAUCGCCGUAGAGCAUGCCAUACAAGUAUCUUCAGGUUUGGCACUUCAUACAAAAAGAGUAGCCCGAUUUGUUAACUGUAGGAUGGACCAAACUGUAGGACUUUGGUCGUUGGUCUUGGCACAUGGAGCAGCAGCACAAUGCAGAACUGCUCCGCUCAAAAAACAGAGCAGCUAGCCAACCAAACUGAGAUACAAUGUAGACAGGCAGGCAGCAAGUACUCCAACUAGUUAGCAGACAUAUUUUUUCCCUUCCAAUCCCCUUCCUGCUAUUGUGAUUACCACCAACAAAGAAUUUUAUCUGGCCUCCUCCUCCUCCGCGGGAAAGAAUACAAUGGAUCUUUUUUGGUUAGGCGAAAUUUAUGUCUGUACAUGCUUGAUAUGAAAGGAGGGGUUUAUCUAAUUAACUACACAUAUGGUUUCACAUUCCACCUGUGUGCUCGCAAUUUAAAUGCAGUAUAUUUUACUCACCAAUACAUCUUGAACAAUCUAAAAAAUAUAUAGCUUGGUUUAUCUUUGUAACUCCUUAUCUGAUUUUUUUCCAUUUUCCACAUUGUUGUGUCUAUUUUCUCAGUUUGGUCCUGUGUAAAUACUUGUCUUAGGGGUCUCUGUAUUGCAUAUACACGGAAUCUUCAAUUUGUCUCAAAUGCUCAGUGGUAAAAACCAGCCAUGCUGGCGGUUCUUAUCAGUGUGAUGGUAUGCUAACUGUUUCUGAUAUAAUUCUGCUCUAAAAGCCCUACACUAUUUUUGUCUUGUAGAUACACCAUGCAGACAAAUGCUGAGUUAAAAGGUCAUAACUUUACACUAAUUUAAGAUUGUCUUGACCUCAAGUGCUGGCUCCUACAGCAUUGCAUUUCACCCAGUGAAAUGCUACAUUUCUACUCCUAACCCAUUCUCUCUUUCUUAGUGUUUUUGUUAUGCAGGUUGGAAGAAAAGAAGAAGAUCCAGAGAAGAUCUUAGUAAUAAGAUAGUUUUUAGGAAAAUAGAUAUUUAGUUUUAUGUCAUUUCUUGUAAUUUUAGAUAUGGAGUGCUUGCCUUUAGUUUUUGUUUUGACUUUGUGAAACUUGCUACUCUUGGUAACAUGUGUUGGAUAUAUAUGUGUUCAUGAGUAUCGGUAAUAUGUGUUGGAUAUGCUAUACUGGUCAUAUAUAUAUAUAUGUGUGUGUGUGUGUGUGUGUGUGUGUGUGUGUGUCUAUAUAUGUGUGUGUGUGUUUGUUUUCUGUGAAAAUGAAUUGAUAUAAGAAAAAAC